This 235-nucleotide unclassified non-coding RNA is filed under the name Clostridioides difficile. RNAcentral's name for it is "16S-23S ribosomal RNA intergenic spacer (ISR)". Lineage: Bacteria; Bacillati; Bacillota; Clostridia; Peptostreptococcales; Peptostreptococcaceae. The record is from RNAcentral.
GCCUACUGUUUAAUUUUGAGGGUUCGUUUUUACGAAUACUCAAAAUUAGCACUUUUAGCAACAGAAUAAACUGAACGCAUGUGAAGUUUGUUUGUUGGCGACGUGCUUUAGCACUUUGAAAACUGCAUAUAUAUUUAGUGAUAUGACAUCUAAUUUGUAAUAUAUAAAGCUGAUAACUUUUUAAAAUUAUCGAAGUUGAUAGCUUCUAAUCUAUCAAACCUUUUUAACUGGUCAA